Molecule: ribosomal RNA, 466 nt
Filed under: uncultured bacterium
Lineage: Bacteria
Description: partial 16S ribosomal RNA
Rfam family: Bacterial small subunit ribosomal RNA
Source: RNAcentral
GAUGAACGCUGGCGGCGUGCUUAACACAUGCAAGUCGAACGGAAAGGCUCCUGCUUGCAGGGGUACUCGAGUGGCGAACGGGUGAGUAACACGUGGGUGAUCUGCCCUGCACUUCGGGAUAAGCCUGGGAAACUGGGUCUAAUACCGGAUAGGACGAUGGUUUGGAUGCCAUUGUGGAAAGUUUUUUCGGUGUGGGAUGAGCUCGCGGCCUAUCAGCUUGUUGGUGGGGUAAUGGCCUACCAAGGCGUCGACGGGUAGCCGGCCUGAGAGGGUGUACGGCCACAUUGGGACUGAGAUACGGCCCAGACUCCUACGGGAGGUAGCAGUGGGGAAUAUUGCACAAUGGGCGCAAGCCUGAUGCAGCGACGCCGCGUGGGGGAUGACGGCCUUCGGGUUGUAAACUCCUUUCGCUGGGGACGAAGCGCAAGUGACGGUACCUGGAGAAGAAGCACCGGCUAACUACGUG